RNAcentral lists this ribosomal RNA (280 nucleotides) under Fusarium kyushuense. RNAcentral describes it as "partial 28S ribosomal RNA". It matches the Rfam family "Eukaryotic large subunit ribosomal RNA", at positions 351 to 650 of the family's 3401-position model. Lineage: Eukaryota; Fungi; Ascomycota; Sordariomycetes; Hypocreales; Nectriaceae. The record is from RNAcentral.
GAGUGAUCGAAAGAUGAAAAGCACUUUGAAAAGAGAGUUAAAAAGUACGUGAAAUUGUUGAAAGGGAAGCGUUUAUGACCAGACUUGGGCUUGGUUAAUCAUCUGGGGUUCUCCCCAGUGCACUUUUCCAGUCCAGGCCAGCAUCAGUUUUCGCCGGGGGAUAAAGGCUUCGGGAAUGUGGCUCCCCUCGGGGAGUGUUAUAGCCCGUUGUGUAAUACCCUGGCGGGGACUGAGGUUCGCGCUUCUGCAAGGAUGCUGGCGUAAUGGUCAUCAACGACCC